UGGCCUUCGUUACUGGGUGAGGGUUCUGCUGGCUGACAUUUGGCACACGCCAUUCAAGAUGCCUGGAACACAUCACUGAUCCCACCCCACGUCUGUGCUUUCCUUUGUUCUCCUCUGUUCCUGGUUGUGCCCUUCACUUCAGCUUCUCCCCUGCACUGUGCAGUUUCACACCAGGACCAUGCCUACAGAUCCAUUCACGGAGCUCUUGGAAGGGAGGAAGAUCUCUUGGAAGAAACUCCUCACCUUCCUCCUCUUCAGCUUCAUCUUCAGCUUCUGCCUCUUCGCUUCUCUUCGCCAGUUCAGGACUCCCGAGCCAGAGGAUUACAAUUCCUAUCUUUCCACAGAAAGAUUCCAAACUGGAAAUACCAGCACGCUGCCGAAGGGUGAGCGCAGGCUGACCAUCCUGCUGUGGACGUGGCCCUUCGGACAUCGCUUUACUUUUAGCAACUGCUCGGAGCUCUUUGACACCCCGAACUGCCACUUCACCACCGACCGCAGCUGGUCCCAAAAGGCAGAUGCUGUGAUUAUGCAUCACAGGGAUGUGUAUAGGGAUGGGGAGAGGCUGGCCCAGCUCCCCAGGCUCCCAUCCCAGCGCUGGAUCUGGUUCAACAUGGAGUCCCCAAGUCACUCUCCAAACUUAGGUGCCAUGAACCACCUCUUCAACCUGACUAUGUCGUACCGGAGAGACUCGGACAUCUUCACCCCCUAUGGGGAGCUGCAGCUGCUCAGCCAGCCCCAGCCCUUCAGCAUCCCACCCAAGACCAAGAUGGUGGCCUGGGUGGUCAGCAACUGGAGACCAAGCUCCCACCGGGUGAAGUACUACAAGGAGCUGAAGAAACACAUCCCCGUGGAUGUGUACGGACGGCAUCACUUGCCCCUGCCCAUGGACUUGCUCCUGCAAACUCUGUCCCAGUACAACUUCUACUUGGCCUUUGAGAAUUCACAGCAUGAGGACUACAUCACUGAGAAGCUCUGGAAGAACGCCCUGUCCUCUGGCACCAUCCCUGUUGUUCUGGGGCCGCCUCGAGAAAACUACGAGCGCUUCUUGCCCCCUGACUCCUUCAUCCACAUCGAUGACUUUGCCAGCGCCGGUGAACUGGCUCAGUACCUGCGGGAGCUGAGCAACGACACCGAGAGGUACCAGCGCUACUUCCAGUGGCGCAAGUGGCUGAAACCUGUGCUGAGCAUCAGCUGGACCAUGCAAGUCUGCAGAGCCUGUCACUUCCUGCAGAGGACAGAGGCCAGCUACCACGCUGUGCCCAACCUGUCCAAGUGGUUGGUUGAACAUAUCGACCAUCACAAGCCUAAGAACAAAUCCUUCGCUCUGAAAUCUGAACUUUUAUCCCUCCUCUAUUUCCCAUCCUUCUGAUGGUACCCAUCUAGACGGGGCCUCACCAACGCUGCUUCAUUUCUUGAAGGGCCUUUGCUGGAUCUUAGCAAAGAAAUUCACACAGAGAAACAUGCCACAUCUUCCUUGGCCGUGUGCUUGCUGACUGCUUCAAAGAGCAAAAUAUUUGUGAAGCAACCGUCUUUAUUGCCAAAUAUUUGCCCAUGCUUCUGCUCUUGCCUUGCCUGCCUACAGACACACUUUUCCUUUAGCUCCUGGAUGCACGCCGGUGUUCUUCCCAUCUCUAAGCCCUUCAGGUCCUGAGCAGCUGGAGAAAUGGAAGAUGUUAAUGCUGUUGACUGAGCCGGGAUAGAUGGGAUUAGAGAGAAGGAAUAUUCCGCAGGUGAGCAGUCUCUUUCUGCCAAGGAAGGGCAUGGACAUGGCAAUGCCAGGACAAAAUCCAGCACGAAACUUCCCCUUCUCAGUGACACGGAGGCGCACACAGGCUGAAUUCCUUGUGGGAUGAGAAAGCUGACACCGCAGUUGGGAAACUCUGGAAGGGGCGACUUCAUCGAAGGAAACAUCUGGACGGCUGCGGGGCCUGGCGCUGGCUUUUCCCAUCUGCACCCACUUGGGAAAAUGCCAUACGUCAGUGUGAGGGGCUCCUUCAGUCUCUCACAGAGGUGAUGUGAAAACACCCUGCUCCCCCCAGACCUCCCCUGCUUUCACCCAAAGGUGAUAGGAGCCAGGCUGAAAUGUUCUCAGCUGAUGCUUUGGGGCAGAGAUGGUCUGAAAAGCAAAGGGGAGAGGUUUGCUUCUCCAAAAGGAGAGCGAGAGGUUGAUCCUGAUGGGAAACCGGGGAAAGAAUAAUUUAAAAAGGUCGAGUUUUUGGAGCAGGAUCUGAGCAGACAGCUGCCAUCUAAGGCAGGAGGUGGUCAGCCCUCCUUGGUGCCAGCUGGCGUGGCGCGGGGUUCUGUCCCUCCACUGGGACAUCCCUGUCCCUUCAUGGCCUGGAAAAGUGCAGUGUCCCCUCACUCCAAGUACUUCCAGUAUCCUAGAAAAUAUCCCCAUGGCCCUGCUGAGCUUCCUACCCAUGGAACCUCUGUUCUGUAGGGCUGCCAGGAGUGGGGAGGAAAGGCAGAGCGUGAGAGAAACACAAAUCCCCAUGUAGUGCAGCACUGCAGUUGGGGAUGGGAAGAGAAAUGGCUGAGACAAACCAAAACCCUGAAAACACAGGAGAAGGAGCCUGACAGCCCCUGCCAGCGAGAUGGCAGCUUUUGGAGCACUCACACCCCCACGGCCCGGCGCACACGCGGGCGCAGACGGAGAUUUAUGAGCCUCAAAAGAUGCUUCGUAAAAUAUUUACAGAGCAGAGCUUCGGGGGCGAGUGGUUGAGUCGGCCACGAGAUGUCAGAUCUCUGGGUGGCACGACGGGGGGAAGAUAAACAGACCUUUUUUUCCAUUCUUGAAAAACCACUGUGAAUCUUUUUGGGUUCGGCGGCGUUUUCCCUUCUGCCCACAGAACGAGGCAGACACCUGGGGCCGAUGGGUGGUAAAGAUGGAACGAACAAGUGCUGCUUGGAUGAGUGGUUGAGGGCUGAACUUGGCUGGGAUUCCAAAUUGCAACAUUUCCCCCAAAGCAAAAUAUCAACCACCAUCAUCAUCGUCUUCAUACCAUGGAGCAACAGAAGCGCAGCCAACGCUGCUGCUGACUGCGAGUUGUUUUCCCUGUAAAACUUCUCUAACCUCAGCGCUGCUUCCGGAUGAGCAAAUGAAACACGUUUCUGGCUGACCUUAUCAAAACCUCGCGUUCUCUUUCUCCCCUUCUUUCCUUUAAAAACAUUUUUUUUUUUUUUUUUGGACGUGAUUUUGCCAGAAUUGGUUCAUCCCUACAGGAUGCUUCAGCUUUGAGCCAACCCAAGUGGAAGAGCCUUCACACAGAGGGGAUGAGGACAAUUAUUUCUGUGGCCAAACCAGUACAGACUCAUACGGGCAACAACCCAGCCCUGGUAAUGUUUUAAAUCAGUGAUUUUGCAUCAAUAUAUGUUUGUGAUGAUGGAAUGACACAAACAGGGGCUGCUGGCGGACGUGCAUGGAGGUUUCUGCAGGAAAUGGGAAAACAAAGUCAAGCUCCAUCCGCUCUUAGCCUGCAGAGCGCCGCGUGGACCCUCUCUGCUCUUCCAAGAGAAAACCCACAUUUCCCAUGCUCAUCCCCACUCUGGGGACGUAAUGCCACCCCGCAGUGACUCGCUCAGAGGCAGCACUAAGAUGAAAACCACAGGGAAAUCGACACAACCACAGAGAAAUCAAUAGAGUUCUCCUUUUAUUUUCACUUUAUCGUGAGUAUGUAACAGCAUCACACCCGAGUUUACGUUUGUUUAAAAAAAAUAAUAUCAUACUGCUUUCCCCUCCCCCCCCCCCAACGUUUAGAAUAAAUGGUAAAAAUGUAAUAAAUGUAAACUGCACUUGGCACCAUUUGGAUCAAUAAAUAAAAUCUUAAAAAAAAAGAGAGAGAGAGAGAGAGAAAGAACGCGUUACACAGAU
Molecule: RNA transcript, 3871 nt
Organism: Centrocercus urophasianus (Greater sage-grouse)
Lineage: Eukaryota; Metazoa; Chordata; Aves; Galliformes; Phasianidae
Gene name: 4-galactosyl-N-acetylglucosaminide 3-alpha-L-fucosyltransferase FUT6-like
Exons: 4
Source: RefSeq, a predicted model, not a curated record